UCCCUGGUGGCUUAGUGGUAAAAAGAAUCAGCCUGUCAAUGCAGGAGACCCAGGUUUGAUCCCUGGUCCGGGAA
Molecule: transfer RNA, 74 nt
Filed under: Ovis aries (sheep)
Lineage: Eukaryota; Metazoa; Chordata; Mammalia; Artiodactyla; Bovidae
Rfam family: tRNA
About the family: Transfer RNA (tRNA) molecules are approximately 80 nucleotides in length. Their secondary structure includes four short double-helical elements and three loops (D, anti-codon, and T loops). Further hydrogen bonds mediate the characteristic L-shaped molecular structure. tRNAs have two regions of fundamental functional importance: the anti-codon, which is responsible for specific mRNA codon recognition, and the 3' end, to which the tRNAs corresponding amino acid is attached (by aminoacyl-tRNA synthetases). tRNAs cope with the degeneracy of the genetic code in two manners: having more than one tRNA (with a specific anti-codon) for a particular amino acid; and 'wobble' base-pairing, i.e. permitting non-standard base-pairing at the 3rd anti-codon position.
Source: Rfam by way of RNAcentral